Molecule: ribosomal RNA, 468 nt
Filed under: uncultured bacterium
Lineage: Bacteria
Description: partial 16S ribosomal RNA
Rfam family: Bacterial small subunit ribosomal RNA
Source: RNAcentral
GACGAACGCUGGCGGCGUGCUUAACACAUGCAAGUCGAACGGAAAGGCCCUGCUUUUGUGGGGUGCUCGAGUGGCGAACGGGUGAGUAACACGUGAGUAACCUGCCCUUGACUUUGGGAUAACUUCAGGAAACUGGGGCUAAUACCGGAUAGGAGCUCCUGCUGCAUGGUGGGGGAUGGAAAGUUUCGGCGGUUGGGGCUGGACUCGCGGCUUAUGAGCUUGUUGGUGGGGUAGGGACUUACCAAGGCUUUGACGGGUAGCCGGCCUGGGAGGGUGACCGGCCACAUGAGGACUAAGAUACGGCCCAGACGGCUACGGGAGGCAGCGGUCGGGAGUAUGGCACAAUGGGGCGACGCCUGAUGCGACGACGUUGCGUGCGGAAUGACGGCUUUCGGGGUGUGAACCGCUUUCGCCUGUGCCGAAGCGUGAGUGACGGUAAUGGGUAAAGAAGCACCGGCUAACUACGUG